CAGGCCACCAGCAACCUGCCUUUCAAUUUCCCCACUGCCUCUGCCUCUGUUAUGUAACCUUAAACAAGUGAUUUUUUUUCCCUCUCUGUGUCUCAGUUACCUCAUGUAAAACUAGUGAGCUAGACAAGGUCAGCAUUUCUCCAACUGGGACCAUAGACUGCCUACAUUGGAAUCACCAGGACUGCUGUUCAGCAAUGUGACCACCUGGGCCUCUCUCCUGUCCUACUGAACCAUACUGUAUAGCAGGAAAGUAAGGAGGAAGUUCAGAGAGUAGGAGAGAUCCAGAGUCAAUAUUGUUAAUAACUUUUCAGAGACUCAGAUGGGGCUCCCCUGCCUUUAAGCAGGACCCCUAUUCCUCCAGAGAUCACCACCUGAGCGGAGACCAACCUGCGCCCAUCUUCUCGAUCCCCUGCUUCGCAUCCACCAUCAGUCUACGAAUUGACCCUACAUCCUUUAGGUCUCAACAGCUGACAUGGACAGUCCUACUCCAAGGCUUCAGAGACAAGCCUUGACACAGGAUCUAACUGCUUAUGACUUGGGGGAUUAGUACUCUCUUACAGUUGGAUAGAAGCCUUCCCUACUCAAGGGAAACUGCUGACACCGUCACCUCCAUCCUCAUUGAGCAGAUCAUUCCCAAGUUUGGACUUCCUAUCUCCAUCCAGUCUGACAACGAUCCGGCCUUCAUUUCUCAGGUUGUUCAACUAGUCUCCAAAGGCUUCAACAUCACUUGGAGGCUCCACAUCCCCCACCGACCCUAAUCCUCAGGGAUCUCCAGCUACUUGCUACCUCGGAGGACACCUAUCCCUUACAUGAAGGCCUCACUAACGGCUGAGGGAACUUCAUCACUGUGGAUACGGAGCUACAAAACGGAAACACAACUGGGGAACUUCACUAGCCUGUCACCCAGGGUUUCUAGGCCCAUUGGCUUUUGUGUGCCUCUUCCCGACCGCUGGUCUCUUCUCAGCCAGUCCCUCUCACUGGACUUCUGGCCAGAAGCUAAUGUGGUGUCUCCUCUUCCCUCUUCUUCUCCUUGCCUUCAGAUUUUGAAUCAGAAGAGCAGUCUCCCUUGCACUGAGUUCCUCCUGUGACCAGCGAGGAUGCAGCAAGUUCUUUCUCUGCUGAGCCCUCAGAGAUUCUUGUUGCUACUCCAAGUGGCCAAGAGAUGCACUAGCCAUGGGGACACAUGGUUACUGUUACCAGAGGCCCACAGAAAAAUAGGAGUUUCUGCCAAGAAGCCUAGCAACAGACCCUGGAAAAAUCUGAGGGGUCCAUGUCAUCCCCUCAUAUGCAGGUUCUCUCUAAGUUCUUGAAGAUACUUUAGCAAUGGCAGCCAGAGAGUGGAGGAAACCCAACAGUCUCUGAUCCUCGGCCCACCGCACUGGAGAAAAGGUUCCCAAUGCCCUUCUGGGCAGUUGAGAGGAUAUCACUUUUUCCUGGGAACCAGUGGAGGGGACCACCCAACAUUGCUCAUCAGCUUCCUAGGGACCAAAAAGCGCAGCACCAGUAUCAUGAAUCUAGUGAUGACAGUAAAAGGUGUUGAAACCCCAGCCAUGUCUAUUACAGCCAAACCUCCUUGGUUCCUGUUUUCCAAACCUGAUUCUG
Ictidomys tridecemlineatus (thirteen-lined ground squirrel) is the source of this 1602-nucleotide non-coding RNA. NCBI's taxonomy places the organism in Eukaryota, Metazoa, Chordata, Mammalia, Rodentia, Sciuridae. The record is from RefSeq and is a predicted model, not a curated record.